RNAcentral lists this long non-coding RNA (689 nucleotides) under Gossypium barbadense (sea-island cotton). RNAcentral describes it as "long non-coding RNA (GBAR_LNC014188)". The record is from RNAcentral. Lineage: Eukaryota; Viridiplantae; Streptophyta; Magnoliopsida; Malvales; Malvaceae.
AAACAUCCAAAAUUUAAACCCAAACCCGAAAUAGACCUUAAACCCGACGUAAACAGAUCCCCAAACCCGUCAACUGAACCUAAACGGAUCCUAACUUGGACCCAAUUGACUAAACCCGAAUCACCAAGUCCAAAAUGCAACCGAAUACCCCUAGCCCAAAACCAAAACAAAUAGAAACCCUAGGGUUUCGGAAAUGGCACGAGCGCCGCAACAGUGACCUCCAGCACUGCUCUCCCCAGCCACGCACACCUCCGUACGUGCCAUGUCUGCGCCUUCGUACACGCCACGUCUCUUGCCGUACGCCGUACCUGCAAAUAGAGCCAAACAAUGCAGCAGAAAGGAGAAAAAUUGUAUUUCAUUUUUUGAUGUUGUUUUAUCUUUAUUUUUUCCAGCCUAUAAAAAAAAAGGCUAAACCUUUGUAAUUUUUUUACUGACACGCAUUCAAUAUACAAAAAAAUAGGAAUACAGAAAGGUGAUUUUCUGGGUUUUUGUUCUUUUUCAUUUUUGGCUGGUUACUUGAUUCAUUUCUUUUCUUUCUUUUUUCUAGUUUUUAUGUUCAUUAAUCGUUGGAUAAAAGAGAAACAAUAGAAAAAAAGGGAGGGACAUACCUGGUAGUGCGAUCUUAGUCCUCUUCGCCAUCAUCGGAGAACGGGCUAGGUUCGAAAGCCGUCUGAAUGCCCUCAAUGCAC